ACGCUGGCGGCGUGCUUAACACAUGCGAGUCGAACGGAAAGGCCCUGCUUUUGUGGGGUGCUCGAGUGGCGAACGGGUGAGUAACACGUGAGUAACCUGCCCUUGACUUUGGGAUAACUUCAGGAAACUGGGGCUAAUACCGGAUAGGAGCUCCUGCUGCAUGGUGGGGGUUGGAAAGUUUCGGCGGUUGGGGAUGGACUCGCGGCUUAUCAGCUUGUUGGUGGGGUAGUGGCUUACCAAGGCUUUGACGGGUAGCCGGCCUGAGAGGGUGACCGGCCACAUUGGGACUGAGAUACGGCCCAGACUCCUACGGGAGGCAGCAGUGGGGAAUAUUGCACAAUGGGCGGAAGCCUGAUGCAGCAACGCCGCGUGCGGGAUGACGGCCUUCGGGUUGUAAACCGCUUUCGCCUGUGACGAAGCGUGAGUGACGGUAAUGGGUAAAGAAGCACCGGCUAACUACGUGCCAGCAGCCGCGGUGAUACGUAGGGUGCGAGCGUUGUCCGGAUUUAUUGGGCGUAAAGGGCUCGUAGGUGGUUGAUCGCGUCGGAAGUGUAAUCUUGGGGCUUAACCCUGAGCGUGCUUUCGAUACGGGUUGACUUGAGGAAGGUAGGGGAGAAUGGAAUUCCUGGUGGAGCGGUGGAAUGCGCAGAUAUCAGGAGGAACACCAGUGGCGAAGGCGGUUCUCUGGGCCUUUCCUGACGCUGAGGAGCGAAAGCGUGGGGAGCGAACAGGCUUAGAUACCCUGGUAGUCCACGCUGUAAACGGUGGGUACUAGGUGUGGGGUCCAUUCCACGGGUUCCGUGCCGUAGCUAACGCUUUAAGUACCCCGCCUGGGGAGUACGGCCGCAAGGCUAAAACUCAAAGGAAUUGACGGGGCCCCGCACAAGCGGCGGAGCAUGCGGAUUAAUUCGAUGCAACGCGUAGAACCUUACCUGGGUUUGACAUGGAUCGGGAGUGCUCAGAGAUGGGUGUGCCUCUUUUGGGGUCGGUUCACAGGUGGUGCAUGGCUGUCGUCAGCUCGUGUCGUGAGAUGUUGGGUUAAGUCCCGCAACGAGCGCAACCCUUGUUCACUGUUGCCAGCACGUUAUGGUGGGGACUCAGUGGAGACCGCCGGGGUCAACUCGGAGGAAGGUGGGGAUGACGUCAAGUCAUCAUGUCCCUUAUGUCCAGGGCUUCACGCAUGCUACAAUGGCUGGUACAGAGAGUGGCGAGCCUGUGAGGGUGAGCGAAUCUCGGAAAGCCGGUCUCAGUUCGGAUUGGGGUCUGCAACUCGACCUCAUGAAGUCGGAGUCGCUAGUAAUCGCAGAUCAGCAACGCUGCGGUGAAUACGUUCCCGGGGCUUGUACACACCGCCCGUCAAGUCAUGAAAGUUGGUAACACCCGAAGCCGGUGGCCUAACCGUUGUGGGGGAGCCGUCGAAGGUGGGACUGGUGAUUAGGACUAA
This 1444-nucleotide ribosomal RNA is filed under the name uncultured organism. Its description in RNAcentral is "16S ribosomal RNA". It matches the Rfam family "Bacterial small subunit ribosomal RNA". The record is from RNAcentral.